This 440-nucleotide ribosomal RNA is filed under the name uncultured bacterium. RNAcentral's name for it is "partial 16S ribosomal RNA". It matches the Rfam family "Bacterial small subunit ribosomal RNA", at positions 339 to 795 of the family's 1533-position model. The record is from RNAcentral.
CUACGGGUUGCUGCAGUGAGGAAUAUUGCACAAUGGGGGGAACCCUGAUGCAGCAACGCCGCGUGGAGGAUGACGCAUUUCGGUGUGUAAACUCCUUUUAUAUGUCAAGAAAAUGACGGUAGCAUAUGAAUAAGCAUUGGCUAACUCCGUGCACAGCAGCCGCGGUAAUACGGAGGGUGCAAGCGUUACUCGGAAUCACUGGGCGUAAAGGACGCGUAGGCGGGUUGGAAAGUCAGGUGUGAAAUCCUACAGCUUAACUGUAGAACUGCACUUGAAACUUCUAAUCUAGAGUAUGGGAGGGGGAGAUGGAAUUAGUGGUGUAGGGGUAAAAUCUGUAGAUAUCAUUAGGAAUACCUAAAGCGAAGGCGAUCUCCUGGAACAUUACUGACGCUAAGGCGUGAAAGCGUGGGGAGCAAACAGGAUUAGAUACCCCUGUAGUC